AUUGAACGCUGGCGGCAUGCCUUACACAUGCAAGUCGAACGGCAGCACGGGUGCUUGCACCUGGUGGCGAGUGGCGAACGGGUGAGUAAUACAUCGGAACAUGUCCUGUAGUGGGGGAUAGCCCGGCGAAAGCCGGAUUAAUACCGCAUACGAUCUACGGAUGAAAGCGGGGGACCUUCGGGCCUCGCGCUAUAGGGUUGGCCGAUGGCUGAUUGGCUGGUUGGUGGGGUAAAGGCCUACCACGGCGACGAGCAGUAGCUGGUGUGAGAGGAGGACCAGCCACACUGGGACUGAGACACGGCCCAGACUCCUACGGGAGGCAGCAGUGGGGAAUGUUGGACAAUGGGCGAAAGCCUGAUCCAGCAAUGCCGCGUGUGUGAAGAAGGCCUUCGGGUUGUAAAGCACUUUUGUCCGGAAAGAAAUCCUUGGCCCUAAUACGGUCGGGGGAUGACGGUACCGGAAGAAUAAGCACCGGCUAACUACGUG
This 486-nucleotide ribosomal RNA is filed under the name uncultured bacterium. RNAcentral describes it as "partial 16S ribosomal RNA". It matches the Rfam family "Bacterial small subunit ribosomal RNA", at positions 29 to 507 of the family's 1533-position model. The record is from RNAcentral.